Molecule: non-coding RNA, 171 nt
Filed under: Paramaledivibacter caminithermalis
Lineage: Bacteria; Bacillati; Bacillota; Clostridia; Peptostreptococcales; Caminicellaceae
Description: Clostridium caminithermale T-box sequence
Rfam family: T-box leader
About the family: Uncharged tRNA acts as the effector for transcription antitermination of genes in the T-box leader family. T-boxes are found upstream of many aminoacyl-tRNA synthetase genes and some amino acid biosynthetic genes usually in Gram-positive bacteria.
Source: RNAcentral
UUGAGUGCGAUGAUGGAGAAGAGUAAUUAGAUUAAUUAUUAUAGAGAGUCGGUGGUGCUGGAAAUCCGAUAUAAUUGUUUGAUGAAGGGAGCUCCUAAGCAAUACAUUAUAAAGUGAGCGUUUUAACGUUAACUAGGGUGGAACCGCGGAAGUAAACCUUUCGUCCCUUUU